Molecule: unclassified non-coding RNA, 344 nt
Filed under: soil metagenome
Description: partial contains 5.8S ribosomal RNA, internal transcribed spacer 2, and large subunit ribosomal RNA
Rfam family: 5.8S ribosomal RNA (bases 1-120)
Source: RNAcentral
GAUGAAGAACGCAGUGAAAUGCGAUACGUAAUGUGAAUUGCAGAAUUCAGUGAAUCAUCGAGUCUUUGAACGCACAUUGCGCCCCCUGGUAUUCCGGGGGGCAUGCCUGUCCGAGCGUCAUUGCUGCCCUCAAGCACGGCUUGUGUGUUGGGCCUCCGUCCUCCUCCCGGGGGACGGGCCCGAAAGGCAGCGGCGGCACCGCGUCCGGUCCUCGAGCGUAUGGGGCUUCGUCACCCGCUCUUGUAGGCCCGGCCGGCGCUUGCCGACACAUCAAUCUUUUUUCCAGGUUGACCUCGGAUCAGGUAGGGAUACCCGCUGAACUUAAGCAUAUCAAUAAGCGGGGA